RNAcentral lists this ribosomal RNA (433 nucleotides) under uncultured bacterium. RNAcentral describes it as "partial 16S ribosomal RNA". It matches the Rfam family "Bacterial small subunit ribosomal RNA", at positions 29 to 507 of the family's 1533-position model. The record is from RNAcentral.
AACGAACGCUGGCGGCAUGCCUAACACAUGCAAGUCGAACGAGACCUUCGGGUAUAGUGGCGCACGGGUGCGUAACGCGUGGGAACCUGCCCUUAGGUUCGGAAUAACUCCCCGAAAGGGGUGCUAAUACCGGAUAAUGUCUUCGGACCAAAGAUUUAUCGCCUUUGGAUGGGCCCGCGUUGGAUUAGCUAGUUGGUAGGGUAAAAGCCUACCAAGGCGACGAUCCAUAGCUGGUCUGAGAGGAUGAUCAGCCACACCGGGACUGAGACACGGCCCAGACUACUGCAGGAGGGAGGAAGGGGGGAUAUUGGAAAAUGGGGGGAAUGCUGAUCCAGCUAUGGCGGGUGAGUGAUUGAAGCCUUAAGGUUGGAAAGCUCUUUUACCCCGGAUGAUAAUGACAGUACCCGGAGAAGAAGCUCCGGCUAACUCCGUG